Molecule: ribosomal RNA, 465 nt
Filed under: uncultured bacterium
Lineage: Bacteria
Description: partial 16S ribosomal RNA
Rfam family: Bacterial small subunit ribosomal RNA
Source: RNAcentral
CCUACGGGCGGCUGCAGUGGGGAAUAUUGCGCAAUGGGCGAAAGCCUGACGCAGCGACGCCGCGUGAGGGAUGAAGGUCUUCGGAUCGUAAACCUCUGUCAGCAGGGAAGAACGGUCACUGUGCUAAUCAGCAGUGAAUUGACGGUACCUGCAAAGGAAGCACCGGCUAACUCCGUGCCAGCAGCCGCGGUAAUACGGAGGGUGCGAGCGUUAAUCGGAAUUACUGGGCGUAAAGCGCUCGUAGGCGGUAUGUCAAGUCAAGGGUGAAAUCCCCGCGCUCAACGUGGGAACUGCCUUUGAAACUGGCAAACUGGAGUGUGUGAGAGGAUAGCGGAAUUCCAGGUGUAGGAGUGAAAUGCGUAGAUAUCUGGAGGAACAUCAGUGGCGAAGGCGACUAUCUGGCACAUAACUGACGCUGAGGAGCGAAAGCGUGGGUAGCAAACAGGAUUAGAUACCCGAGUAGUC